RNAcentral lists this ribosomal RNA (320 nucleotides) under uncultured Prevotella sp. RNAcentral describes it as "partial 16S ribosomal RNA". Lineage: Bacteria; Pseudomonadati; Bacteroidota; Bacteroidia; Bacteroidales; Prevotellaceae. The record is from RNAcentral.
GGAGUUUGGUCCGUGUCUCAGUACCAAUGUGGGGGACCUUCCUCUCAGAACCCCUACUGAUCGUCGCCUCGGUGGGCCGUUACCCCGCCGACAAGCUAAUCAGACGCAUCCCCAUCCCUUAGCGAUAAAUCUUUGGUAUUCGUCAGAUGUCAUCAAAAUACAACAUAGAGUAUUAAUCCGACUUUCGCCGGGCUAUCCUCUACUAAGGGGAAGGUUGGAUACGCGUUACUCACCCGUGCGCCGGUCGCCAGCGGCAAUAGCAAGCUAUCGCCCUGCUGCCCCUCGACUUGCAUGUGUUAAGCCUGUAGCUAGCGUUCAUC